AGUGAACGCUGGCGGUAGGCCUAACACAUGCAAGUCGAACGGCAGCACAGUAAGAGCUUGCUCUUACGGGUGGCGAGUGGCGGACGGGUGAGGAAUACAUCGGAAUCUACUUUUUCGUGGGGGAUAACGUAGGGAAACUUACGCUAAUACCGCAUACGACCUACGGGUGAAAGCAGGGGAUCUUCGGACCUUGCGCGAUUGAAUGAGCCGAUGUCGGAUUAGCUAGUUGGCGGGGUAAAGGCCCACCAAGGCGACGAUCCGUAGCUGGUCUGAGAGGAUGAUCAGCCACACUGGAAGUGAGACACGGUCCAGACUCCUACGGGAGGCAGCAGUGGGGAAUAUUGGACAAUGGGCGCAAGCAUGAUCCAGCCAUACCGCGUGGGUGAAGAAGGCCUUCGGGUUGUAAAGCCCUUUUGUUGGGAAAGAAAAGCAGCAGGUUAAUACCCCGCUGUUCUGACGGUACCCAAAGAAUAAGCACCGGCUAACUUCGUG
RNAcentral lists this ribosomal RNA (492 nucleotides) under uncultured bacterium. RNAcentral's name for it is "partial 16S ribosomal RNA". It matches the Rfam family "Bacterial small subunit ribosomal RNA", at positions 29 to 507 of the family's 1533-position model. The record is from RNAcentral.